Molecule: ribosomal RNA, 482 nt
Filed under: uncultured bacterium
Lineage: Bacteria
Description: partial 16S ribosomal RNA
Rfam family: Bacterial small subunit ribosomal RNA
Source: RNAcentral
AUUGAACGCUGGCGGCAUGCCUUACACAUGCAAGUCGAACGGUAACAGGUCUUCGGAUGCUGACGAGUGGCGAACGGGUGAGUAAUACAUCGGAACGUGCCCGAUCGUGGGGGAUAACGAGGCGAAAGCUUUGCUAAUACCGCAUACGAUCUACGGAUGAAAGCGGGGGAUCUUCGGACCUCGCGCGGACGGAGCGGCCGAUGGCAGUUUAGGUAGUUGGUGGGAUAAAAGCUUACCAAGCCGACGAUCUGUAGCUGGUCUGAGAGGAUGAUCAGCCACACUGGGACUGAGACACGGCCCAGACUCCUACGGGAGGCAGCAGUGGGGAAUUUUGGACAAUGGGCGAAAGCCUGAUCCAGCCAUGCCGCGUGCAGGAUGAAGGCCUUCGGGUUGUAAACUGCUUUUGUACGGAACGAAAAGCCUCUUUCUAAUAAAGAGGGGUCAUGACGGUACCGUAAGAAUAAGCACCGGCUAACUAUGUG